Long non-coding RNA from Balaenoptera acutorostrata (minke whale), 2350 nucleotides. RefSeq lists it as uncharacterized. The record is from RefSeq and is a predicted model, not a curated record. The transcript is spliced from 8 exons. NCBI's taxonomy places the organism in Eukaryota, Metazoa, Chordata, Mammalia, Artiodactyla, Balaenopteridae.
CCUCAUGGAACGCCCAACUAUGGCCGGCCUGCGCGGCCAGGAAGCCCAGACGGGGCCACCGACCAGCCCAAGGUCACACAGCCACGUGGGUCCCUCCCGGCCCGAGCGCCGGUGUCUCAGUUCACAAUGAAGGGAGCAAAGUGUCGCCUCCAAAUCUGUUACAGGGCCUUUUCCUAGAAGACCAGGGGGCUGAAGACAAAGGCUCACCUGAUUCCAGGGGACCCACCCAGCUAAUCCAGGAUAAUCCCCCCAUUUCAAGGUUGAGUGACAGAUUCCACACUGAACUCAAAAUCACGCUCUCCAAAGAUAAAGAAACUGAAGCUCAGAGAGGUGAAUGACCUUCUGGCGGUCACACAGCCAGCAAGAGGUGGAGCCUGGAUCUUCUGCCCCUGGGCCCUUUGGAGCAGCUGCUGAAGGGUUGCUGCUAAUGACUCCCAGCUGCCCCUUCGCUGGAGGCGAGCCCUCAGCCAAACGAGAGGCGUCCCCCGGAAGGCCAGCCCACCCUGCCUUUCUUUCCCGACCUGGGCAGAUGAUGGCUGAUGACCGGCUGAUGUGGUGCAAAAGGCCACCCCAAGCCUCAAGUUGUGUUUGGUGAAGAGGUUGGUCUGAUACAAGCUAAUCCACCAUAUCCGGAAGCAAUACAAAGAGCAUGGACUUUGGAGCCAGAACUCCAGGAUUCAAAUCCCAGUUCCAUCGUUUACUUGUCCUGUGAUCAUGAACAAGAAUCGACAUAAUUUCUCUGGCUGCGGGUUGCGCUGUCUGUAUCCGAAUAAAUCCAGCUCGCAUUCGUCCAGCAGGAAACGGCUCCCGGUUCCCGUGUACGGAGACGCAUCGGCUCAGCACGGGACGCGAGAUGGCUCCUCGUGCUCAUAAGGCGGCAGGUCUGGCCUCCGAGGGAGGCUGGACUAUCAGCGCGCUCAGGCCGAGCAGCCUCUCUCUGCCCGGCAGUGCCUGGCAGUCCCCCACCUCUGCCUGUGCUUCGGGAACCCGCCGGGCCGAGUCCGUCCGGGGCGAAAACUGAAAGCAAAUUCCACGGCAGAUGAAGCUCGAACUUUCUACGAAGCAAGUUUGCAGCAGAGAUUCGGUGGUACCUUUCAGAGGACAGCGCGCGCAAAGUGGGGCGGUGGGCGAAGAGGGCACCGGGUGUCUGAGCUUGGUCCGCGGCGAAACGCGAGGGAAGGCGCCUCCCCCUCGUUAUUUCUCGCCAACUUCUCGGCCUCUGUCCGUAAAAAUAGUUUCCAAGGUGCCGCGGACGCCCAGGAUGUGAUUGUGGGAAUCGCACCAGGGAGGAGGCGGCUUUGUAAAAGUUGCAGAAAAAGCUUUACCCAGAAGCGUGCGCCCAGCCGGGCUCAAGAAAGCUUGGGACCAACUCGCCUUGCCCCGGGCAGAAGGAGCCCCCCUGGAGAGCCCCCUGCCUAGCCCUCUUCCCUCACCUCGAAACCGCACGUAAAUAACCUCCCGCUGCCUGCCCUGCAAACUUCCCCGGGCGGUGCCGCGCUUGGCGGGCGAGGCCCGGACGCAGAGCCGGCCCGCAAGGCCGCUUGUCGACCCGCUCAACCCAGCCUUGACACAGGCUUGCGCGGAGGUGAGAGGAUGAGUGUGGUUCCGGCUCCCACUUGGCUGCCCAGACCAUCACCGCCGGCCUCCCAGAGCAAGAGCUUCCCCUCGGGAGCGGUGGUCUUGGGGGGCUGACGAGGGCGCAAAAUGCGCGCGCGGGGCUGCGGGGGGAGGCGGCCGCCGGUCUCUCCACGGGGCCUGUCGCCGGGCCGGCCGCGGCGGGUGAGUGAUGAGGGCAGAGAAGGGCGCCCAUAAAUCGCGGGUGUCAGGGCGAAAAACUCUCUUUAUUGUCUGCGUGAUGGAUGGGCCCGGGGACGAGACACCAAAUACUUCGUAUCGCCUUUAAAUGGGAACACAUUUUCCGCGGCCAUAAUUCAUGUUUUUUAAAUAGAAAGUUUGAAAUGUUGCCUAUAUUUCACCGGCCCUGACAUAUUUAUGAAUCGCUCCCUGCAUGCAAAUAUCAUUAUUUAAAGCGCCGGGGAGAGCUCGGGGGAGGGGAGGAGGCGCGGCCCUUGGGGCGUGGGGGUGGUGAACUGGAGAAACGCGAAUGGAGAGGGGGGGCACCAGCGCCCUAAAGUGCGGACAAUGAGGCGCGGAGGAAAGCCGUAUCCGGAAGCCCAGCGCACCGGGGGCUCCCCUCCCGCCGCCGGACCCCUCACAGCCGCUCGGGGAAGUCUGCGCGGUUUGGGGGUCCCACCCACUGCCGGGAGACCAGGGGGCAUUUUGCGUCCGUCUCCGAGCCUCUGAUCAGAGCCACCUUUUCCGAGAAGGGAGUAAAAGAAAGAAAAAUAAA